Molecule: microRNA precursor, 140 nt
Filed under: Vicugna pacos (alpaca)
Lineage: Eukaryota; Metazoa; Chordata; Mammalia; Artiodactyla; Camelidae
Description: miRNA (ENSVPAG00000016330.1)
Source: RNAcentral
AAGUCCGAGUUAAAUUUGAAUUUCAGAUAAAAACAAUGUUUUGCCUAAGUAUAUCCCAUGCAAUAUUUGGGACAUACUUACACUAAAAAAGAAUUCAUUUUUUAUCUGAAAUUAAAAUUGACCUGGGCAUCUUAUAUUUU